AAAACAUGUCCAAAUCAACUUCAUAACCGUCUCAGUCCUCAUUUUAUAAAACACAACAUUUUCUUGACGCUACCAGCAGCAUCACUUCUGUCAGCCACUAGCCUCGUAAAAUGAACGAAUCCAUAAUCACCCCUCUACGGGAAGGAGGUCGAUUUCAAUGACUAUCUAAUAAAGGAAUAAAUUCAGCGUUAAAAAAAAAUCAGAAUCCCUAAGAACCCUAGAGGCAAAUGCCAAAGGAAAUCUGAUCUGAUGAAAGCAGGUUUUUUUUUUUUUUUUAUAAGGGAGGCUUUAUUUUCUUUUUUCCCAAAGACAAAACUGCAUUUUAAAAAUGGUCGUUUGGUUUAUCGACGAAUCUCUAUUUAAGGAACUGAAUACAGAACUGAUUAUACAGCUGGGAAAACUUCUCCACUGCAACGCACUCUGAAAUGGUCUGAUUUGGUGGAAAGCUUGAAUCAGGCCGAAGCGGAUGGUUUUGCAACUCUGACGUGCUUAAUUACUUUCAACGCAGAGCCAGCCAGGAACUCAUUCUUUUACCUGCGGAGUCCGGGAGAACGCACCCCACAGCUGAUGAAGAUGGUUUGUAAUGAGCGGCUCAUCUGCGCACUAUGUAACCUGGGAGACCGCCAGUGCUAUGAGUCGAGUUCUCUGAAUGCUGCCUACAAUGCCACUGUCCAACAGUUGAGAAGGGCUGCGCUCCUCCUAUCCAAUUGGCUGCUUCUCCUCCGAGCACUGCUCAGGGAUGCUGGGGCUUCCCAGCCCCUCUCUCUCACCACACUGCCUUUGGUAAGAGCACCCAGUUGCAGGCUGCGCGGACCACUGCCCAGCCAGGAGCUUUACCCCCGGGCCCCGGCGUCUGGAUGUCUGUUAGGCCUCACCUGCCUUCCUGCCAUCACCCCUUCUCUCUUUUAAGCCAUGAGCAGCACUGGCCACCCACUCCCCAGCCUGAAACCUGGGAGCCCCCUCCGGGCGCCCUGCUGCCUCUCAGCUCAGCAUCCCGGCCACCCGGAGCUGCCUGCGUUGGUUCUCAUGUCUCUCUCCAUUUCAGCCCAAGGCACUGCCUCCCUGGGGAUGGCUCCCUCCUCUCCACCCCCACUACUUCCCUUGUCCCGCAGGAUGCAGCCAAAGGAAUGUUUCUAGAACACACACAGCCUGUCACAGCACCUGCACCAGGCUUGCAGGCCUGAGGCCAGGGCCAGGGGAAGAACCCGUGAUCACCUGUGAUCACCUGUGAUCACCCCCUGUGGCCCGGCAGUGUCAGAAAUGAGCUGACAAACAGCAAGCCGAACUCGAGCAAAACUCAAACAACCCUGGCCUUGCAUUCUGGCACAGUCACUUCUUAGCUGCGCCGUUCCUGGCAGUGUUGAAAGCCUCUUGGGAGCCCCAUUGCUCUGAAAGGGGGGUAAUAUGCGAUUCCUUCCUGAAAAACUUGUCUGUAAGUAAAAUGAAGCAGUGUGGUAUAGCAGGAAGUGCAAGCUGGGUCCUUCAUUUAAAUUUUGUUUUUCUGAAAUUAAUUAUUUUAUUUCAAAUAGAGCAAGAGAGAGAUGGUCCAUCCACUGGUUCACCCCCCAAAUGCCUACCAUGGCUGGGACUGCGCCAGGCUGAAGUCAGGAUCCAGGAACUCGAUCUAAGAGUCCCACAUACGUGACAGGGCCCAACUACUUGAGCCACUAUCUGCUGCCGCACGAAGUGUAUCCUGGGGAAGCUGGAAUUGGGAGCAGAGCCAGGGCUCAAACGCACACCCAGGCACUCGAGCAUGGAGUGUGGGAAGCUGAACCAUUCUCCCUCCCUGUCCUACUCUUUGGAACGAAAUUUUGUAGCUCUCAGAAGCGCUUCUUGGAUGAAACACUCGCU
Molecule: long non-coding RNA, 1851 nt
Organism: Oryctolagus cuniculus (rabbit)
Lineage: Eukaryota; Metazoa; Chordata; Mammalia; Lagomorpha; Leporidae
Source: Ensembl